CAGCAGCCGCGGUAAUACGAAGGGGGCUAGCGUUGCUCGGAAUGACUGGGCGUAAAGGGCGCGUAGGCGGCGGCCAAAGUCAGGCGUGAAAUUCCUGGGCUCAACCUGGGGGCUGCGCUUGAUACUUGGUUGCUUGAGUGGGGAAGAGGGUCGUGGAAUUCCCAGUGUAGAGGUGAAAUUCGUAGAUAUUGGGAAGAACACCGGUGGCGAAGGCGGCGACCUGGUCCUUGACUGACGCUGAGGCGCGAAAGCGUGGGGAGCAAACAGGAUUAGAUACCCCUGUAGUCCCUGUCUCUUAUAC
Molecule: ribosomal RNA, 301 nt
Filed under: uncultured bacterium
Lineage: Bacteria
Description: partial 16S ribosomal RNA
Rfam family: Bacterial small subunit ribosomal RNA
Source: RNAcentral